Molecule: transfer RNA, 73 nt
Filed under: Cordylochernes scorpioides
Lineage: Eukaryota; Metazoa; Arthropoda; Arachnida; Pseudoscorpiones; Chernetidae
Description: tRNA-Thr
Rfam family: tRNA
About the family: Transfer RNA (tRNA) molecules are approximately 80 nucleotides in length. Their secondary structure includes four short double-helical elements and three loops (D, anti-codon, and T loops).
Source: RNAcentral
UCCAGGGUAGCCUAGUGGACAUGGCAUCAGCCUGGUAAGCAGAACACUGUGGAUUUGAUUCCCAUCCCUGGAC